UGAUGUGCAGGCGAUGUUUCGUGCAGAUAAAGAAGAACGCUCGGUAAUUCAAAGCAGUUCCAGAUCCAUUAAGACGCGCAUUAUCUCGAGGUCGUUCUCGUCCCACUGAACUGAAUGCGACAUUCUUAGAGGUGCAUGUUCGCGUCUUAUCUCAAGGCACUGUGACUACCACACCACCGUGUUUCCCUACACAAUAAGAAA
Molecule: long non-coding RNA, 201 nt
Organism: Frieseomelitta varia
Lineage: Eukaryota; Metazoa; Arthropoda; Insecta; Hymenoptera; Apidae
Exons: 2
Source: RefSeq, a predicted model, not a curated record